This 614-nucleotide ribosomal RNA is filed under the name Penicillium citrinum. Its description in RNAcentral is "eukaryotic LSU rRNA". It matches the Rfam family "Eukaryotic large subunit ribosomal RNA", at positions 38 to 667 of the family's 3401-position model. Lineage: Eukaryota; Fungi; Ascomycota; Eurotiomycetes; Eurotiales; Aspergillaceae. RNAcentral also lists the same sequence under 2 other names. The record is from RNAcentral.
GCAUAUCAAUAAGCGGAGGAAAAGAAACCAACCGGGAUUGCCCUAGUAACGGCGAGUGAAGCGGCAAGAGCUCAAAUUUGAAAGCUGGCCCCCUCGGGGUCCGCAUUGUAAUUUGCAGAGGAUGCUUCGGGAACGGCCCCCAUCUAAGUGCCCUGGAACGGGCCGUCAUAGAGGGUGAGAAUCCCGUCUGGGAUGGGGUGGCCGCGCCCGUGUGAAGCUCCUUCGACGAGUCGAGUUGUUUGGGAAUGCAGCUCUAAUUGGGUGGUAAAUUUCAUCUAAAGCUAAAUAUUGGCCGGAGACCGAUAGCGCACAAGUAGAGUGAUCGAAAGAUGAAAAGCACUUUGAAAAGAGAGUUAAACAGCACGUGAAAUUGUUGAAAGGGAAGCGCUUGCGACCAGACUCGCCCGCGGGGUUCAGCCGGCACUCGUGCCGGUGUACUUCCCCGCGGGCGGGCCAGCGUCGGUUUGGGCGGCCGGUCAAAGGCCUCUGGAAGGUAACGCCUCUCGGGGCGUCUUAUAGCCAGGGGUGCCAUGCGGCCUGCCCGGACCGAGGAACGCGCUUCGGCUCGGACGCUGGCAUAAUGGUCGUAAGCGACCCGUCUUGAAACACGGACC